GGGCCCGUAGCUCAUCUGGUAGAGCGCUACAUUCGCAUUGUAGAGGUAAGGGGUUCGAGUCCCCUCGGGUCCACCA
This 76-nucleotide transfer RNA is filed under the name Candidatus Kerfeldbacteria bacterium CG08_land_8_20_14_0_20_40_16. RNAcentral's name for it is "tRNA-Ala". It matches the Rfam family "tRNA". From Rfam's summary of the family: Transfer RNA (tRNA) molecules are approximately 80 nucleotides in length. Their secondary structure includes four short double-helical elements and three loops (D, anti-codon, and T loops). Lineage: Bacteria; Candidatus Kerfeldiibacteriota. The record is from RNAcentral.